RNAcentral lists this ribosomal RNA (497 nucleotides) under uncultured bacterium. RNAcentral's name for it is "partial 16S ribosomal RNA". It matches the Rfam family "Bacterial small subunit ribosomal RNA", at positions 28 to 507 of the family's 1533-position model. The record is from RNAcentral.
GAUGAACGCUGGCGGCGUGCCUAAUACAUGCAAGUCGAGCGAACAGAUGAGGAGCUUGCUCCUCUGACGUUAGCGGCGGACCGGUGAGUAACACGUGGAUAACCUACCUAUAAGACUGGGAUAACUUCGGGAAACCGGAGCUAAUACCGGAUAAUAUAUUGAACCGCAUGGUUCAAUAGUGAAAGACGGUUUUGCUGUCACUUAUAGAUGGAUCCGCGCCGCAUUAGCUAGUUGGUAAGGUAACGGCUUACCAAGGCGACGAUGCGUAGCCGACCUGAGAGGGUGAUCGGCCACACUGGAACUGAGACACGGUCCAGACUCCUACGGGAGGCAGCAGUAGGGAAUCUUCCGCAAUGGGCGAAAGCUUGACGGAGCAACGCCGCGUGAGUGAUGAAGGUCUUCGGAUCGUAAAACUCUGUUAUUAGGGAAGAACAAAUGUGUAAGUAACUAUGCACGUCUUGACGGUACCUAAUCAGAAAGCCACGACUAACUACGUG